GAGAACAACACCUCCCCACAGUUGGAGCCAGGCCGGUCUUCUGAGAGACCAGCCUGCAUCAGGCCAGGCCGGGAUGGCCAGAGAAGAAGCUAUGGUGUUUGCUAUGUGUGGUUUCACAUGUCUCACUGCGCUGGCAUGGCCAACAGGCCUCACGGCAGAUGGGUUGGUUCUACUGAAGCCUACGAGACUUCGAAGAGGUCAAUCAGCAGCUCAACUCAUCGACCCUAAACACAGCCUUGGCCUUUGAGCCGUACCGCACCUUGGCAACCAGCGCCGCUGCUGAGCGGCAGCAGCACAACAUCUUGUUCUCGCCAUUGGGCUUAGCGUCAGCUCUGGCGCUGCUGUCCCGGGUUUGUGGUUCCGAGAGUCGGAACCAGACCCUGGAGGCCCUGGGGCUGGCGGCCAAUACUACAGAGGAGAGUGUGGAGGCCACCUUAUCUGCUCUUGCAGAUAUGCAACUCAGCCUGUCUCUACGCGGGGGGGGUGUAGGGUCCAAAGGGUAGAAUCUGGAACUGGAACAGGAGCUGGCAUUGGGGCACCAGCAAGGGUGGAAUUUGUAGGGGAUGAUGCUGCAAACCAAACUGAUGUAGAUGAUUGGGCGGAGGGUAAGGAUGGAACUCGGGGUGGUGUUCAUGCUGGCAGUCAGCUGGAGUUUUGAGCAGCCUACAUGUGGAUGGAAGACCAUCCCUAGACUAUGACAGUUUCAUGCUCAGGCCUUGGCACAACAGCUUUGACUCGUUGAUGACUUGGAAGCCUCUGACAAACUUGAACUUACCAAUUAUGUGUAUUUCAAAAGGUAGCUUCUUCAUAGUUAAUGGCUGAUGUUAUUUUCAGCUUUUGUAUAUGCAUAAUGUAUAUUAAUGGUGUGAACAAUCAGACCGAUUUGUAAAGACCUUCAAAAACAUGUUAAUAAGCUUGAAAUCAGAAUGAACCGCUGCUAAAUUUGUAAAAGUAAAAUCAGAACACUUUCAAAAUGUGCUCUCUGUGUCAAGACAAUUGCAGCCACUACAGAGCAUCAGUCAUUGUUGUCUACGUGGAGCAGAUGCUCUCAGCCAGUCAACAGUGGUGCUUUAUACAGGCAUGCAACUUUUCCCUCUUACAAUUUGUUUUUCCUAUUUCAUAACGUUCUCUUUGUCACUGCUGCGUGAAUCAGGCCGUCAACCAUUUGAGCGGCGCCACACGGUGCCAAGGAGCUUCCAGCCCAACGCCACCACCACCAGCGUGGAGGUGGCCAUGAUGUUCUAAGGUGAUGAUGCUGUACGACACGGUGGUGCGUCUGGCCCACUCCGAGCGAACUGGCCUCGCCGCUCCUGCUCCCUACAGCUGAGCCGCAGCCCCUGGAGCCUCUCCGACGGACGCAUGGCGCCGCAACCUGAAGCAGUGGGUCUCACUGAAGAGAAUUCCAAAAACAACCUUCAGAAUGAUGCUAUGAAACACAAUGAUUGUGAAGUUAUUUAAACCAAAAUACAAUACUUUAUUCCCCUGAUGGAACGUAUCCUGGCUCUAAAAUAUAUAUUUUAUGAGAUUUCUACUUCCAGGUCGAUCUAAUUGAGGUUGAAUAGAAUUGAAUCUGUUACGCUCAGAGCAUUGACUUUUUUGGCAUUUUUGAAUUCCACAUCAUCACAUCUUUCUGUUGGCAGCAGCGACGAGGAGACUGCAACCUUCCUCAAAUGCGUUCAUGAAACAAACGCAACGUUUCCCACAUCAUUUUCAUCCAUUCAAGGCGGGCAGAAAUCCGUUUCCCUAAGUUCCAACUAAGGAAAUCCUACAGUUUAGACAGGAGGCCUCCUGAGGAACUCUGGGGUGUCAUCGGUUUUCUCGCACUCAGCCGACUUAUCUGGAAUAUCGCAGGAGACUCUGAAACUCGCCAAGGCUCCUCGUGAGGUCAUGCCCGAGGUGGAGGAGAUCCAGUAUGAAGAUGGGGGAGACCUGACAGUUCACCGGACUUCUCUGUUCCCUCGAGGAUCACCUUUAACAGGCCGUUCAUGCUCAUAACCUACGGCCAUCUCACGGGGAGAAUUAUUGAUCCUACAAAUGUCUACAGCGGGGUGAACAGCGUAGCUUUAUUGGGCUUUGCUAUUGAUAUAACACUGCGUUCACUUAUAUUACUCGAUUUGUUUUUCCCCCCCAACAGAAUGGUGUAUCAUUCUGGGGAAAAACAUUUUCCUGCAAUUAUAUCAGCAUGCAGAGUGCUUUGUUUUACCUUCAAUUUUCCAAACCAUUACAGCCUGAUUUACAGUUUCUUUCCCCCCUAUUUGCACAAAAUUAUGAAAAGAAAUUCAAAUUGAAGUAAUUUAUCUGUAUGACUGAAUCGCUUUCUACUCUUGCAAAAGCAUAAAACCCUUUUCUUCCAUUACAAAAGCUCUAUUGUCAUUUUUUCCCAUCUCUUUAUCGCUUUGUGCAAUUACAGAGAAAUGUUUUGCAGGAGAAAAGCACUGUUACAUCUACAGUACGCAUUUCAGUUUUACCUCAGCACCAGACGGUCUUGAGCAGAUGACAUUUAGCUCAUUGAGGAGAUGAUAAAUG
Molecule: long non-coding RNA, 2526 nt
Organism: Gasterosteus aculeatus aculeatus (three-spined stickleback)
Lineage: Eukaryota; Metazoa; Chordata; Actinopteri; Perciformes; Gasterosteidae
Source: Ensembl